RNAcentral lists this ribosomal RNA (812 nucleotides) under Leptocorisa bipunctata. Its description in RNAcentral is "partial large subunit ribosomal RNA". It matches the Rfam family "Eukaryotic large subunit ribosomal RNA", at positions 601 to 1368 of the family's 3401-position model. The record is from RNAcentral. Lineage: Eukaryota; Metazoa; Arthropoda; Insecta; Hemiptera; Alydidae.
GUCCAGCACGCUCGUCGGCGGCGGUUCAGAUUCGGGCACUUAUCCGACCCGUCUUGAAACACGGACCAAGGAGUCUAGCGUGUGCGCGAGUCAUUGGGUGUAAAACCUAAAGGCGUAAUGAAAGUGUCAGAGGGCGCCCCGCGCCCUCGGUGGGAGGAUGAGCUCCCGGCCCACCGGCCGGUGCUCCGCACUCCCGGGGCGUUUCAUUCUCAUUGCGAGUCGAGACGCACCAGGAGCGCACACGCUGGUACCCGAAAGAUGGUGAACUAUGCCUGGCCAGGACGAAGCCAGGGGAAACCCUGGUGGAGGUCCGAAGCGAUUCUGACGUGCAAAUCGAUCGUCUGAGCUGGGUAUAGGGGCGAAAGACCAAUCGAACCAUCUAGUAGCUGGUUCCCUCCGAAGUUUCCCUCAGGAUAGCUGGCUCUCGGGAAGAGACGAGUCUCAUCCGGUAGAGCGAAUGAUUAGAGGUGAUGGGGUCGAAACGACUUCAACCUAUUCUCAAACUCCCAAUAGAUGAGAGCCCCGGCUUGCUUGAAAGUGAAGCCGCGGGACUCGGAUCAGAGGUGCCAAGUGGGCCAAUUUUGGUAAGCAGAACUGGCGCUGUGGGAUGAACCAAACGCAGAGUUAAGGCGCCCGAUUCGACGCUCAUCCGAAACCAUGAAAGGCGUUGGUUGCUUAAGACAGCAGGACGGUGGCCAUGGAAGUCGGAAUCCGCUAAGGAGUGUGUAACAACUCACCUGCCGAAGCAACUAGCCCUGAAAAUGGAUGGCGCUGUAGCGUCGUGCCUAUACUCUGCCGUCAACGGCAAAGCG